AUUGAACGCUGGCGGCAGGCCUAACACAUGCAAGUCGAACGGUAACAGGAAGCAGCUUGCUGCUUCGCUGACGAGUGGCGGACGGGUGAGUAAUGUCUGGGAAACUGCCUGAUGGAGGGGGAUAACUACUGGAAACGGUAGCUAAUACCGCAUAACGUCGCAAGACCAAAGAGGGGGACCUUAGGGCCUCUUGCCAUCGGAUGUGCCCAGAUGGGAUUAGCUAGUAGGUGGGGUAACGGCUCACCUAGGCGACGAUCCCUAGCUGGUCUGAGAGGAUGACCAGCCACACUGGAACUGAGACACGGUCCAGACUCCUACGGGGGGCAGCAGUGGGGAAUAUUGCACAAUGGGCGCAAGCCUGAUGCAGCCAUGCCGCGUGUAUGAAGAAGGCCUUCGGGUUGUAAAGUACUUUCAGCGGGGAGGAAGGGAGUAAAGUUAAUACCUUGGCUCAUUGACGUUACCCGCAGAAGAAGCACCGGCUAACUCCGUG
RNAcentral lists this ribosomal RNA (490 nucleotides) under uncultured bacterium. Its description in RNAcentral is "partial 16S ribosomal RNA". It matches the Rfam family "Bacterial small subunit ribosomal RNA", at positions 30 to 507 of the family's 1533-position model. The record is from RNAcentral.